This 401-nucleotide unclassified non-coding RNA is filed under the name soil metagenome. RNAcentral's name for it is "partial contains 5.8S ribosomal RNA, internal transcribed spacer 2, and large subunit ribosomal RNA". The stretch from base 1 to 121 matches the Rfam family "5.8S ribosomal RNA", at positions 35 to 154 of the family's 154-position model. The record is from RNAcentral.
GAUGAAGAACGUAGCGAAAUGCGAUAAGUAAUGUGAAUUGCAGAAUUCAGUGAAUCAUCGAAUCUUUGAACGCACCUUGCGCCCUUUGGCCAUUCCGAAGGGCAUGCCUGUUUGAGUAUCAUGAACACCUCAACUCUCAUGGCUCGCCAUGAUGAGCUUGGAUUUGGGGGUCUUGCUGGCCUGUGGUCGGCUCCUCUCAAAUGGAUCAGCUUGCCAGUGUUUGGUGGCAUCACAGGUGUGAUAACUAUCUGCGCUUGUGGUUUUCCAUCAGAUAACCUUCAGUUAUGGAGGUUCGCUGGAGCUCAUAAACGUCUCCCCUAAGCGGGGACAGCCCUUUGAAUGUUUGAUCUCAAAUCAGGUAGGACUACCCGCUGAACUUAAGCAUAUCAAUAAGCGGAGGA